Molecule: non-coding RNA, 1604 nt
Organism: Rattus norvegicus (Norway rat)
Lineage: Eukaryota; Metazoa; Chordata; Mammalia; Rodentia; Muridae
Source: RefSeq, a predicted model, not a curated record
AAGAUAGUCAGUAUUCCAUUCCAUAGCAACAGAAGAUAGAAAGACUCCCUUACAUUAACAGAUCAGUCCAUCUCUCAAACCUCAUAAGAAAUGUUUCCUUUUGUGUUAGAUGGUGAUGACAACUAACACAGAGACCCACACUAGUCAAGGUAAACUGAGGAAACAGGUACAGAAUUCCAGUCACGGCAGAAGAUUGAACAGAAAGCUUAUAAAAAGCAGUUGUAUUGGGGAACUGUGCUUUGGGGAUAUAAUAGGAAAAUUACAAUAUGAUUUCAUAAUAGCUGAGACAAAAAUACACAAGCCCCUUGCAUUCUUAGGCCAGUCAAAACACCAGCAUGAAGAGGGAAAAUAGACAUGGAGUCCCAUCCUAACUGAAGAGCCAAUAGCACCUGGUCGCUGCUGGUAGUGAAAGAGGCAGGUUUCGCUAGUAGUAGGGUCCAUAGUAGGCUGACCAUGUUUCAGUUGAUGGCCACAUAUCCAGAUGCAUACAUGUUGGCCUUCCUGCUUGGAUGGAAAGAUGUCCUGGACUUCAGAAACCCAGGAAGCACACAGAUCUGAGGGGAGAAGAUAUUCCAAUGGAAAGAUUCCUGGAGACUGCAUCAUUUGUAACAAAUGGAGGUUUAUUUGGCUUGGGAUGAGGGAAGCAGAGUGAAGAAGUAUGCUUUCUGUGUCUAGUAGGGUUCCUAAUGCUGCAUCAUUCUGUGGUGUGAGCCCAGUCUACCUAGGAACCAGCAUCUAGAAAGAAGACAGCUACAAGAGAGAAGACAGUACCUGUGCACCCAGGCCCUUCAGUCAUGUGUGCAUGAAGUAAAGAAUAGGAGUUCCCUAGAUCAGAAUGGCCGUGGUUUCUUCAGUUGCCUCUCACCUUUAUGAAGAAUGAACUGUGGGGUAUUUGGAUCCUCUUUGUCACCCCAGUAAAGAAAUCUCUUUCCAUGUGAAGGAAUCCAGCCCUCAGCUCUAAGCCUACAAGCAUGAAGAUUAGGAGCAUGUGUUUAUGCGAGCCAAGUGCAAGCUGAUACCCCUGGAGGCCAGCAGAGGCCAUUGAAUCCUCUGGAAAUGAAAUUACAGGCAGCUGUGAUGGGUGCCUGACCCUGGAUCCACUGCAAGGAGAAAUCCCCUGAACAGUUGGUGACUAGAUGAUAUAACAUGUUAUCUACAGAACAAGACUAGAAUAAUAGUUUUAAGAUCAUUCCAUUAAAUGUAGAGAAGUUAAAGGAAGACACGAUGGACAGUAAUGAGAUUCCACAUCUGAGACUGGGCAGCAGCUCCCAGCCAGACUGGCCCAGCAUGCACUGAUUUAGCUCACUUUACCUCACAUUCAGUCGCAUCCAUCAACAGAACGAGGCCAUAGGCUCUUAAUGUUUAUAACGACUUCAUUCUUUGCUAUCUGUGUGCCUUUACCCAUACCACUCUACUCACUAGAACUGUCAAGAUACUGAUGAUACCCUUACAGAAGCUGGCAACCUGAGGGCAGGCCGGAUGAAAGAGUGACGAAAGGCUGGGACGUUGUGACUUCUUUGGCGAGAGCUCACCCUCUGAAUGGAAAGCUGACUCUGUUUCGGGGCCUUAGGAAAAGGUCUAAUAAACGUGCUCUGGUAAUCUUC